RNAcentral lists this ribosomal RNA (468 nucleotides) under uncultured bacterium. RNAcentral describes it as "partial 16S ribosomal RNA". It matches the Rfam family "Bacterial small subunit ribosomal RNA", at positions 28 to 507 of the family's 1533-position model. The record is from RNAcentral.
GACGAACGCUGGCGGCGUGCUUAACACAUGCCAGUCGAACGGAAAGGCCCUGCUUUUGUGGGGUGCUCGAGUGGCGAACGGGUGAGUAACACGUGAGUAACCUGCCCUUGACUUUGGGAUAACUUCAGGAAACUGGGGCUAAUACCGGAUAGGAGCUCCUGCUGCAUGGUGGGGGUUGGAAAGUUUCGGCGGUUGGGGAUGGACUCGCGGCUUAUCAGCUUGUUGGUGGGGUAGUGGCUUACCAAGGCUUUGACGGGUAGCCGGCCUGAGAGGGUGACCGGCCACAUUGGGACUGAGAUACGGCCCAGACUCCUACGGGAGGCAGCAGUGGGGAAUAUUGCACAAUGGGCGGAAGCCUGAUGCAGCAACGCCGCGUGAGGGAUGACGGCCUUCGGGUUGUAAACCGCUUUCGCCUGUGACGAAGCGUGAGUGACGGUAAUGGGUAAAGAAGCACCGGCUAACUACGUG